AUAAGAACGAUUUUUGCAUUUGGUAGCAUUUGGAGCUUUUGUUGUUUCUCAUCAUGUCAGCGCCAGUAAACCGGGCUAUCAUAACGUUGAAAUAUCAGAACAAAUCAAUCAGUUCUGGUCUAAAUACUUUGAGCUUGUUUAUCUCCGUGUCCGGAACACCGUCCUAUUAGGUGCUCAUUACUUGUACGCCGUUACAUUCCCAGUGGCAACCACACCAUGCAAACAACAUUCUCAUACAUUGCUUGAUUUAAAAGCCAACACACACACACGUACACGUCUUACUAAGCUUCUGAGGACUUUCCAUUGACACAUAAUUAUUCAUGCAGAUAAUGAAUCCCCCCCACCCCCUCCCAUAGAAAUGUGCUGUUUAAAAAAAAUCCUCACUUGUCUCCUUUCCAUUAUUAAUGAGCCCAAAUUAUAAUUGCUCACACAUUUAGUUUUAAAAAAAAAUGAUUGAAUCAUGACAAUGUUUUGCUAAUUAGUAGCUGUGCAUUUUCUUCUGUGACCGUCUGAAUGCCAGUGAAGCACCACACCAUCACGAGGCUGUAAAAUCAGACAAAAUCCAUCGGUUCUAGUCUAAAUACUUCAAUUAAUGCUUGGUUGUGUCCUGAGAAAAUAACCAUCAGGACGGUAUGACUCGCACACUGUAACAUUCCCAGUGACAACUACAUCAUGUACCGUGUUCUCAUUCAUUCACUGGACAUCAGUGACAGGCGUCUCAUUGGCGACUGUCAGGAUCGCAGAUCCUGAUGUAGAAGCCCGUGUCUCCUGCAGCCGCUUAGAGUGUCCUCAGCUUGGCCGGGCAGCCGGCAUGGCAGGUGAGCCGUGUGGUAACAGACGGUGAGCUCGCAGAGAGCUCGGUAUCAACAGAGGAAGUGCAGAUGACCCACUGAGUCAGCAAGCUGCUCCUCCCUUUCCCUCGGUCAUCUGGACCUGCAGCGUGCAGGGAAUAAAGCUGGAACCUCACCAAAUCUAGCACUGUGAAAGUAAACCAGAGACUGUUCUCUUUCUAUAUGUUAUAGAUGGAUUGAUCAAAAAAAAAAUAAAUCAUCAGUUAUAUAGUAUAGUCAUUGGAUAGUGCACUCAUCGAUGUGACGACAUGUACAAAGUAUUGAAGAAUCAAAUUCAAUCACGUCAUCUCUCUAAACACAUAGUGGGGUUUAGUGUACGGUCUCGAGAAUCACCCUGGACUUGUCGUACAGCCUGAAAGCCGUCUGCACGAGGGACAACCUGAUUGGACCACAGCUCAUGUACUAGACAAAGCCCGUGCUAGUGCCGUUGCAACUGGGAGACAGUAUUUUGCACAGCAUGCGGCUUAAUCCUGAAUGCCGUGUGAUUGUUCGGCUGCUGUUCUCCUAUGAUCAGCCUUUAUGUAAUGGGCAGAUUGGAAGCACUAUUUCACUGAACGUAGCAAGAUUUAGUGUGCUCAAUAAACAGAGGUAUAGACUGUAUGGUGCGUAGAACAAUACAUGAGAACGAGUGACCCUGGAUGUCCUCUUAGGCAUGCUGCAGGAAAAGAAAUCUCAGUGCUCUGUGUGGGUAUGUAUGCUACGACUGCAGCAAAAGAUAAACCUCAUCAAGCUCUGUCUCUCAAUAAUGCAUGAUUAAUUAGAAGCCUCUGAAAUAGGAAUAAAUCAAAGAAAGACUGGAAACUGGGGAGCGAGUGAGUCCAUAAAUAGUUUCAGCAGAGGAAGUGCACAGGUUCAUAGACACACACACACACACAAUUGUACAAUGAUUACUAGCCUGAGCAGAUUUGCUGUGUUUAGUAACUCGUUCAGUGUUAUGAGUCAGAAAACAACCUGCGCCAAGAGAAAUGAUGUUUUUCUUUUUUUCUUUUUUACUGCUGCUGAAUUAAUCAUUUUUUUGUCUACAAUUUUCAGUAGAACCUUACAAAUUUUUAACUUGUCAAAAUAUCCAUCCAUCUUCUAUACCGCUCAUCCUUUUCAGGGUCACAGGGAAACCUGGAGUCUAUCCCAGGGAGCAUCGGGCACAAGGCGGGGUAAACCCUGGACAGGGUGCCAAUCCAUCACAGGGCACACAAUCUACGGACACUUUUAGAUGCCAGUCAGACUACCGUGCACGUCUUUGGACUGGGGGAGGAAACCGGAGUACCCGGAGGAAACCCAUGCAUCACGGGGAGAACAUGCGGGAAUCGAACCCCCGACCCUGGCGGUGUGAGGCGAUUUGUUAAUCUGCUUGAUUUACUCUCUAAAAUAUCGUUUCCACAGCUCCUCUCACGUGGCGUGCAGACGUCCGCGCACCUCCAGGACCUGACGAGUCCGUUUUUGUUCACAUACAAUUAUUAAGAUGCCACGAAACCAAAAUCAUCUGGCAAGCUGAGAUAAGCCCGGGGCAGAUGCAAAUGUUGCCACAGCUGGAUACAAAUUUCACCCGUGAGCUUUUAUGGAAGACGUGUUGGUGAUGAAAGAGUGUGAUGUUAAGUUUCACCACACAGCUGUCUCUUUGAAUAUAACUGAUGACUAAAAUUGAUGGCCAGUAUUAUGUUCUUUAUCGUUUUCUCGUUUUCUUCCAGUGUUUAAUAACAGCUGCAAGGCACCAUAAUGGCAAAAAAAGUGCUUCCCUAAAUGUGUCCCGAGUGUUCCUUUGAGCACCUUGUGCACAGAUGUUGAACAUGCUAAAUUUAUAUUCUAAAGCUGUCUCAUACGCACUGACACUGCAACCAAUAGUUACGACCAGAUCUGAAUCUUCUUAUUUACACCACUGUGAUUUUGAAUUCUCAAACCUGAUUGGUCAAAAGGUGCUGCUUUAUUUUUCUAUACCAACUGCCUUGACAAUAACAAAAACAAAAAUACACAACAAUAACAACAACAACAAAAAAGCAUUUAAGUGUACUUGUCUACUAAAUUCUACAACAUGUGAAAUAAAUUUUAAUUAUACUCUUUAUUUUAAUUAUACUAACGAUACACAUAAAGUGGGGUCCAAACGUCUGAGACAACAAUUUUUUAAAUAUUAAUUUAAAACUGGAAUUAAACCGAAAGUUUGAGAAGUUUGAAAAUUCGAAAACAAAAAAGGAACUGUGCAACAUCUUGACUAUUCAAUAUUUAAGAUGUUGCACAAUUUCUAGGUUGCGAUUUAAAUAUGAGCAAAUUUGUGAUAUUGACCAUGUUAACUCCUUUAUACAAAAGGAGUAUUAUCCCAUGAGUAUCCCUUCCACUGAAGCAUGCAUUCAGACGAAACAGCUGGGGUUGAAACGGAUGGAUUUGAUCUAACAUGGAUGAUCAGGUUUAACACAAACUUGUAGAAGCAAAAAGGG
Long non-coding RNA from Ictalurus punctatus (channel catfish), 3277 nucleotides. Lineage: Eukaryota; Metazoa; Chordata; Actinopteri; Siluriformes; Ictaluridae. The record is from Ensembl.